AUUCCUAAAAUGUGCAGUACUUAACAAUUGGGUAGAUAGCAAAGAUUCCUGUAAGAAUCAGUGUAAUAGUGGGGUGAUGUGUGCAGCGCCUUGAGAAACACUGUUUGAAUACACAGGAAUGUAUUUUGCAUUGUGACCUCUAUCCUAUUAAUGCUUCCAGAGAAGAGUUCUCAAAAUGCAAGACAAAAACCGGAGAGAUGGUUUCUUGUGUUUUGUGGCUUAACUUUUUGGGACACUCUUGACUUUAGCAGGCCUGGAAGGAAAGCUAGAAAAGGGAACUGAUUCCCCAUUAGCAUUGAUGAAAGCUUUGCAGGACAGAGCACCAAGAACUGCAUCGCUUUGUGCAUGUGUGAGCAGAUCCAGUAGAUCUUCACUUGCCUUCAUUGGUAAAACAGCGAUUUCCACCAAACCAAUGGAACUAGCAAGGAUUUAAAGGACUCAAAGAAGUAAAACAUCCCCCAUGCUCCCAGAAUUCUGCUGUUGACCCCCUCUGCCCUUGGGCUUAGCACGGCAGAGGAACAGGACCUGCCAAAUGGUUGCAUACAUGGGGCUGACUUAGUGAGAUGGUGCAGCUUCUUUCAUUCUUCUGGAUUUGUCCCUCUAAACAGCCACAUGAAGAGUUAUUGCACAGCUUUGUACAUUUGCAUGAUGUAAAACUUUCUUCAUGACAGAAAUAAUUACCCUAACCACUGCACAAAUGGUUUGUUUCAGGCUUGCAGCUGUGGCUCAUUGGCAGCUGGCAGAGCUCUCAUCAGUGAUUUGAGCACUGGAAUACCUUCCCUGCAUGUCCUUCUAUUGCAAAGCCAGGAGCAAGAACACUGAGAUGAACCGUUUGUUCAUGAAAGCUGCCAGCAGAGGAUGUGGCUGAUGAACUGUGAGGGCUGGGAAGAGAUGUCUCCAGGGAGCAGGGCCUGGGCAGUGCUAUGUCCUUUCUGCACAGGAGAAGGUCCAGACGAGUCGACUCUCAGUGAGACCCAUUACAUCCAGCACCCCUGAUCAAACCAAAGCCCAUAGCUCUGCAUUGCUUUUGCUAAUACUAUAAUCAUCCAUUGCAGGCUUUUCUUACAUAACUAGCAAGUCUAUGUUGACUACAGGCUUUGCAGCUUGAAUUCACUCAUGCUUCCUAUUUUUUUAGCUUCUGUUGGAGUUUCACAGCUCACCUAACCUGCAAGGGCCACGAACAAAGUACGUGAAUAUGCACCACUUGCUGGCAGAACAAACAAUCCUCUCAGACAACAGGAUUGUUAUUAAAACGGGUUGUUUUGUUGGCAGAAUAGGCUUUCCCUGUUGCCAGGGGUUGCCCAAGGUGAGCCUGACCUCUGUGGUCUCUGAAGCUCUCUCUUGUGGGUGAGCUGAGCAAUGCUGGAAUGCAGCAUUUAAGAUGGAUUAACUGCGAAGUUAACACAGGAAACAGUUCAGAGAGAGUAAAAGUAUUACACUGCAGAACUAAGGAUGAAACAUAACUUUUGAUCCCAUAGGACACAAGUUCCAAGGCUGAGAACAUGAUUAUUUGAUAAGAGUCACAGUCAUCUUGUCAGUGCAAGUAAUGUUUGCAGCCUCCUCUUAAGGCAGAAUUCUGCCUUUCCAGGUGCAAGGAAGGGCAGUGGAGAGGCAGGUAUGUGGCCAGUGGAAGAGAUGUGUCUGCAUUCUCCCACUGUGAGGGGAGUAACAAAACCAUGGACCCUACCUCACCCUUUCCACCCAGAGCAGGUCCCCACAUGCCAGGUCUGUCGCCUUUGAACUCUUAAGAGUCUUGAUGCAGUUUCACGUGCAUCGUAGCACAAAACCUGCACUUUGGUACCAACUUCAGCUGAAACCAUUUGCACAGACCGGUCCUAAGAAACACCAGUCAUCCACCCAAGUGAAAUUCUGAAUUGCUGGCCGCACCCUGGCAACAUAAUGUAUUCAUACAGCCUAAGGAUCAACAUGAAUUGGGGUUUCUGGAAAAGGAUAUAUCUGUUCCUUGCUCAGCUCACUAGCUCUCUAGCCACUAUCUGCAAAUCUCUUUGAUACUCUGUAAAAUGGCAGAUUACUACCCUUUAACUCUUUCACCAGGGCUGCAGGGCCAAACUGCUAGAGAUUCACCUGAGCUAUAUGGAGUUUUCUGUUUGAUUGAGGUAAGUGGUUUGUUUGGUUUCGGGGCUUUUUGAUGUUAGUAUUGCACCUUAAAUAUUCCACUUUAAAACUGUGCUAUGGCAGGUGUUGGCUCUCUGUUACACUGCAGCUAAAAAACCAGUUUCUACCACAGAUGUUACAGGCAAAUCAGUUUGAAGAUUUUUGUUUCCUGAGCUAAACUACCAUUUAUUAGCUAGAGUUAUUACUAGAAGGCACAGCACAGUGCAUGACACUGUGCUGGGCUGCACAAAUAUGUAUUAAGCCCUGGACUACCAUGAAGAAUGUACAGAGUAGGAUUACAAGCAUGACUUAGUUAUGAACUACAGACACUUAAAAAUGAAGAAACACUUUUGCAGUCUGAUUCUUGCCUACCAUUACAGGAUUCAAAUCUAAAAUGCAACAGAUUCUAGGUGUCUAAGUCCAAAUGAAGAACCAAAACCUCUGAGUUUGGUGCCAAUGAGGCCUCCAUGUUAUGGAGUGAUUGUGAAUACAUUUAUUUGACUAGUACAGACAAAGCCUUAUAUAAUUGAGGAAAACAGAGCUCUACCCUCAAACAUCCUUGAUCCUUAUCCUGCCCCCUUCAACUUAAUUUGAUAAUCAGCACUUACAUCACAGAGAGUUUGGAAAUAUUAUCCAUGCCUCUCCUUCAGCAUUACACUAUGUUAAACGAGUCCCUGCCUGUAAAGAUCUGCUUUCUUCAGAACUUUCACCCAGCCCCAUGAUUAGCUUGGCUUAUGUCAGCAAACACUCAGCAAAACUGGAACUUGGAAACAGCUUAAGCUCAGCCUCUUUCUGCCUUCAGAUCCAUUGGUUUUACAGUCUUCAAGCAUCAUCAUUCAGCAUCCAGCUGGCAUCCAUUUGACUACAGUUGCUGCAGGAGGAGUGGGAACCAACCACCAUUGUUGCUGAGUUUUAUCCUGUAAAUUCAGCCAAAAGAAACUGGUGCACGCCAUCUCGUGGCCCUGCACAGCUACUUCCCAGGAACGAAUUGAGCUCCAACUGUGACAGGGAGGUUUAAUGUGAACAGGAUUUAAAAGAUGGCUGUCAGCGGCUCAGAAAGAGCCCACUAUAUGACCAUAGCUAUGAAACUUCCACCAUUAGCACUUUGUCCACACUCCUGCCAUGACCUUGCAGCCUGAGCAGCUGUUCCCCGGAGCAGCAGCAGAGCAUCAAGCUGCAAAAGGCACCUCUUCCACAUGUGCUCACACACUGUUGAGACAGCCCUUCCCUCACAACAAAUACAGUGAACAGCACAGCCCCAGAGCAGCCUUUGGUGGAGCAGGAAAUUACCUUAUGCAUUUCAGAGUAGGUCAUACACUUUAAUCAUUCUUGAUUACAUGCAAGGUUGGGGAUGUUCAUGGUACAUCUGUCUUCAUCUGCUCUCAGUACUUGUUAAAGAACUCUGUCAAUGCUUUAAAUAAAGCUAAUGUGUCUCUUCGUAACUGUUCAUUAACAGCUGGAUACAUGAACUCAUGGAAACAUCAGCUGUCAGUCCCUUGAUGUAUCUUAAGUUCCUAGUCCUUCUUACUCCCUUUUUUUUUUUUUUUUUUGAGAAAAACAAGUCAUUAAGAGACCCUUGCCAGAAGUGAUUAAGGUAUGAUUUCAUCUAGUUGAGGGAAUUAAAAAACCAGGGACAGAGUUCAAUUGUGUGAAUUUAAGGUCUUUGCUUCUAUUUUAAGUAGUAAGUUUCUGACUUAACAAUGUUUAUGACUUUUCAGAUGGGAGAUUACAUCUUAAAUCUGCACCAUUAAAUCAUCGCCAAAUUUGAAGUCACAUUACCUUUAGCAGAAUUGCUGAUGGCAACACUUAAACACUGUCUCACUUCCACUGCUCUCACAGCUAUCAAAAGGCUGGAUAUAUAGUCAGCAACAACGGGACUUAAAAUAGCUACAGAGGGGGCAAAACUUCAGACUAAGCAUCUUAUUUUGCCUGCUACUGGAGACAACUGCACAAGACCUAUGAAAGUUUGCAGCUUGCUGUUGGAAAGCACAGAAUCAUACCAGAUAACUUCAGAUGUUACUCCAGAGGACACUGUGCCAUACUGUAAGAACAAAACCAACUACCCAAGGAUUAUAGUUCAAAGCAUCUGAUUACAACCAGCAAUUGUUCUAAAUAUGCUGUGUGAUGAAAAUUCUAUUUUUACUGUUCUUGGGUUGGAAGUGUGUAACCAUGUUGCAGAAAGACUGUUAGACCUGUGAGGCUCAGUGAAGCCUGAUACUAAAACAGUUGCUCUGUAUAAAGGAAAGAAAAGAGGGAACAUCCUUCUUCUCAUGUUGAGGUUUAAUUCUAAGGUAUGUGACACUGGAUUUACAAAGGUAAAUAAAAAUACAUUCUGAGAAAUAGCGAGUGCCCUAUUUAGCAAGGCAGAAGAAUUUCACACUUCAAGCAGCUGAGAAACUAAACUGCUCACAGUAUGAAAAAAUAUUUAGGGUCUGUCUUUGACACAUGAUUUUGCCAUAACAGGUGAUGAGGAAUGUGCAGUAGUGGGGCAGAAGAAAGACAAAUACUUAAGUGAUAAAGAUGAGACAGGACAACAGGUAUUAGAUAAGGCUUCCACUUGAAUUAAUUGAGACAUUAUUACUAUGAUCAGCAGUCAGAUGGAACUACUAUUCCAAACACUGAUCAGGCAAACUACAUUGCCAAAUUGAAUUACACAGCUGUUGAGACAGGCUUUAGCUCCAGCCUGAUGAUGAUAUGGCUAAGUUUGCAUAUGCUUGUAGCAAACACAUAUAAAUGAAAUCCCAGUAAUAUAAAAGGACUGGAGUGGUACAGAAAGUUUUCCACAUUAACUGUACCCAAUACCAGGAGCAAAGGCUACCACCUGGAGUACAGUGCACACAACAGUUUAUACAAGAGUAUCAUCUACAGUUAUUCUACAACUUUAAUCCUAAAUUUCAAUUUAAAAAGCCAAGUAUGAAUCACAUGCAGGCAGAUUUCAUGACUCAUUGCUGCAAUGGAUUUAACCACAAGUGCUGAUCCUGCCUGCCAUUAAGAUGUCUGGCAUUCCAUCUUGGACCCAUUCCUCUGGAGGGGAGCUCUUUCACAGAUCUGUGCUACAGAGAGCUGAGCUAAAAACAGUUAAAUGAGACUUCAGGAAUUUAAAAAAAAAUCUGAUAUUUUGUCACACAAGAAUAAAAUUCCAGGAAUUUAUUGCUGUAUGUAUGCUUAAUCCAUUAAUUCAUCUUACAGUAGUCAUGAAGUGCCUUCUGUGUGCUACAUUUAACAUUCCAUGUAUUCCCUUCCAAAUGCCAUUUUACAGUGGGCAUAUGAAACAACGCAGCAGCAGUCACAAAACAUGGCUUAAGCAUCUCUCAGGUGCUUAAAGACAAAAAUUUGUGUACAAGCUGAAUAACGAGAUGUCAGUUAACAGGUCACUCAGCAACUUUAAUAGAAAUAUCUUUAGGUGGAAGUUUUGCAGCGUUAAAAUUUACAACUCAGACUAAACAUUCUCAUCCCACUGUAGUAACAAGAUAUUUGCAAAGAACAAGAACUAUGGUACGUAAAUGUCACACGCAAGACCCGCUUCAUUUCUAUCAGAAGCAAAAAUUGCUAAUUAUAAGGAAGGACAAGCCUAGCAGGAUAAGGCUGUCAGCCUAUAAUAAAAACAUAAACCUCCGAGUUUGGCAGUGGAAUUCUAUUUACCACCCUGACUUUUUUUUUUUUUGGUAACAUACAAGUACUCUUCCUCCCCUCCCACACUUUAUAAAUCCCCUUUUAUUUUUAUUAUACCUCCAUAUUAUUUACAGGACUCCUAAAGAUUAAGUACAAACUAGUAUGAAAUUAAUGACAGCUUGCUUUUCAAAUAUGUAUCCCAUGGCUAAAUAAAUACCAAGCCAAUCCAACAGAGUGAUCUGGAGUUACGAUUCAGAAGCUUGUGUAUCUGUGACUCCAGUUGUUUUCUCAUUAGCUGUGGAGGAUUCAUUUGAUCUGUCAACAAUAGUUGCCACAGAAGUUGGAGCAGCGCUAUCCAAGGUGAGCGUAGAGGUCUGUUCUACAUUUACAGUAGUG
This is a long non-coding RNA of Pseudopipra pipra, 6123 nucleotides long. RefSeq lists it as uncharacterized. The transcript is spliced from 2 exons. NCBI's taxonomy places the organism in Eukaryota, Metazoa, Chordata, Aves, Passeriformes, Pipridae. The record is from RefSeq and is a predicted model, not a curated record.